Molecule: long non-coding RNA, 322 nt
Organism: Boleophthalmus pectinirostris (great blue-spotted mudskipper)
Lineage: Eukaryota; Metazoa; Chordata; Actinopteri; Gobiiformes; Gobiidae
Exons: 4
Source: RefSeq, a predicted model, not a curated record
GAUAGUGAUUAUAAAAACUGAACAUUUGCUGGUGUUAAAGACGCGUUCUCUUUGCCUCUUUCAGCUGUUCAAACAAGGUGUGAAUAAAGACAAACAAACUCUGAUCUGGACCAAAUCAGUCCGUUUCCAAACAGGGCUGACAUAAUAAUCAAAUGAACAGAGCAUGGAUCAGAGAGAGCACAGAGAGGACGGAGCCCCUCCCUCUAAAACCACUCACCCCCCCAAAGCUCAGAGACCUGCUCCUGGGACCAGCGCCCACUCAUUCAACAGUGAUCGCUCUAAUGAUGGAGGGAUUGAUUUGAAAAGAGAACAUGGUCCACAG